Molecule: ribosomal RNA, 468 nt
Filed under: uncultured bacterium
Lineage: Bacteria
Description: partial 16S ribosomal RNA
Rfam family: Bacterial small subunit ribosomal RNA
Source: RNAcentral
GACGAACGCUGGCGGCGUGCUUAACACAUGCAAGUCGAACGGAAAGGCCCUGCUUUUGUGGGGUGCUCGAGUGGCGAACGGGUGAGUAACACGUGAGUAACCUGCCCUUGACUUUGGGAUAACUUCAGGAAACUGGUGCUAAUACCGGCUAGGUGCUCCUGCUGCAUGGUGGGGGUUGGAAAGUUUCGGCGGUUGGGGAUGGACUCGCGGGUUAUCAGCUUGUUGGUGGGGUAGUGGCUUACCAAGGGUUUGACGGGUAGCCGGCCUGGGAGGGUGACCGGCCACAUUGGGACUGCGGUACGGACCAGACUCCUACGGGAGGCAGCAGUGGGAAAUAUUGCACAAUGGGCGGAAGCCUGAUGCAGCAACGCCGCGUGCGGGAUGAAGGCCUUCGUGUUGUAAACCGCUUUCGCCUGUGACGAAGCGUGAGUGACGGUAAUGGGUAAAGAAGCACCGGCUAACUACGUG